RNAcentral lists this ribosomal RNA (395 nucleotides) under uncultured bacterium. RNAcentral describes it as "bacterial SSU rRNA". It matches the Rfam family "Bacterial small subunit ribosomal RNA", at positions 29 to 429 of the family's 1533-position model. The record is from RNAcentral.
ACGAACGCUGGCGGCGUGCUUAACACAUGCAAGUCGAGCGGUAAGGCCCUUUCGGGGGUACACGAGCGGCGAACGGGUGAGUAACACGUGGGUGACCUGCCCUCAGCUCUGGGAUAAGCCUGGGAAACUGGGUCUAAUACUGGAUAUGACUCCACGGUGCAUGUCGUGGGGUGGAAAGCCUUGUGCGGCUGAGGAUGGGCCCGCGGCCUAUCAGCUUGUUGGUGGGGNGAUGGCCUACCAAGGCGACGACGGGUAGCCGGCCUGAGAGGGCGACCGGCCACACUGGGACUGAGACACGGCCCAGACUCCUACGGGAGGCAGCAGUGGGGAAUCUUGCGCAAUGGGCGAAAGCCUGACGCAGCGACGCCGCGUGAGGGAUGACGGCCUGGUGUAAC